AAAAGCAGAGGGCAUGACAUUAAAUCUUAGUUCUGUAAAAGCAUUCUGAUAAGCCCGCUCCCUUUCCCUGGCAUUGCGGGAGGGAUCUGGGCCUCCCGGUGACCUGGCUGUGGGCAGAGGGAUGUCACCUGCAUCAUUGGGACUCCCCGCUGCGUCACAUACCCUGGCUGACCAAUCGGGAUGGCUGGGGGGCGUGACCACCUGCCCUUUAAACCAGGGGUAGGCAACCAACGGGCCGGGGGCCGGAUGCGGCCCAAUCGCCUUCUCAAUCCGGCCCGCGGAUGGUCCAGGAAUCAGCAUGUUUUUACAUGAGUAGAAUGUGUCCUUUUAUUUUAAAUGCAUCUCUGGGUUAUUUGUGGGGCCUGCCUGGUGUUUUUACAUGAAUAGAAUGUGUGCUUUUAUUUAAAAUGCAUCUCUGGGUCAUUUGUGGCGCAUAGGAAUUCGUUCAGAUUCUUUUUCAAAAUAUAGUCCGGCCCACCACAUAUUCUACGGGACGGUGGACCGGCUCAUGGCUGACAAAGGUUGCUGACUCCUGGUUUAAAGGGUGGCAUGGCGGGGGGGGGGGGGGCGGCCUCCUUUCACCUCCUCGCCCUCACCAGCCAUUUGGUUUGUGCCUACCUUGUAGCAAUCGUCACAACUUUGUAAGGUUAGGCACUGGGUAAGCCAACCUAGCAGUUCGAAAGCACAUCAAAGUGCAAGUAGAUAAAUAGGUACCACUCCAGCGGGAAGGUAAACGGCGUUUCCGUGCGCUGCUCUGGUUUCGCCAGAAGCGGCUUAGUCAUGCUGGCCCCAUGACCUGGAAAAACUGUCUGCGGAUAAUCGCCGGCUCCCUCGGCCAGUAAAGCGAAAUGAGCGCCGCAACUCCAGAGUCGUUCGCGACUGGACUUAAGUGUCAGGGGUCCUUUACCUUUACCUUUAAGCCUUGUUUAUGGGAAGGGAAAUGGUUUCCUCCACCUGCCGCUCCUCAUUAAGGGUAUCCCGUUAAAGGGAUGGGGGGGCGUGGUUCCUGUCCAAAGCCUGGGCGUGGGCAAGGGCCAUGGCACGACCCCAUCAGGGACUCUGGGAGUGCCCCGAUUUGAAGUAUAUCACAGGACUCCCCCUAUCCGUGGUUUACCCUUAUGAGACUCCCUCAGACGGGCAGGAGUCAGGAUAUAGUUCGGUUUCACCCAAUGCCUAAGCCAAACCGCUCACAUCUGUAACCAAUAAAGUUGUGACCUAUUUCAUCCCAUUAACCU
Non-coding RNA from Podarcis lilfordi (Lilford's wall lizard), 1235 nucleotides. The record is from the annotation of a GenBank genome assembly. Lineage: Eukaryota; Metazoa; Chordata; Lepidosauria; Squamata; Lacertidae.